GCCGGGUGUGGUGGCUCACGCCUGUAAUCCCAGCAAUUUGGGAGGCCGAGGUGGGUGGAUCACCUGAGGUCAGGAGUUUGAGACCAGCCUGGCCAACAUGGUGAAACCUCAUCUCUA
Pongo abelii (Sumatran orangutan) is the source of this 117-nucleotide unclassified non-coding RNA. It matches the Rfam family "Metazoan signal recognition particle RNA". Rfam says of the family: The signal recognition particle (SRP) is a universally conserved ribonucleoprotein. It is involved in the co-translational targeting of proteins to membranes. Lineage: Eukaryota; Metazoa; Chordata; Mammalia; Primates; Hominidae. The record is from Ensembl.